GUCCACGCCGUAAACGAUGUCUACUAGCUGUUCGUGGUCUUGUACUGUGAGUAGCGCAGCUAACGCACUAAGUAGACCGCCUGGGGAGUACGGUCGCAAGAUUAAAACUCAAAUGAAUUGACGGGGGCCCCGCACAAGCGGUGGAGCAUGUGGUUUAAUUCGACGCAACGCGAAGAACCUUACCUACUCUUGACAUCUACGGAAGACUGCAGAGAUGCGGUUGUGCCUUCGGGAACCGUAAGACAGGUGCUGCAUGGCUGUCGU
RNAcentral lists this ribosomal RNA (264 nucleotides) under uncultured bacterium. Its description in RNAcentral is "partial 16S ribosomal RNA". It matches the Rfam family "Bacterial small subunit ribosomal RNA", at positions 793 to 1055 of the family's 1533-position model. The record is from RNAcentral.